This 72-nucleotide transfer RNA is filed under the name Bos taurus (domestic cattle). It matches the Rfam family "tRNA". Rfam says of the family: Transfer RNA (tRNA) molecules are approximately 80 nucleotides in length. Lineage: Eukaryota; Metazoa; Chordata; Mammalia; Artiodactyla; Bovidae. The record is from Rfam by way of RNAcentral.
UCCCUGAUAUUUCAGUUGGUAAAGAAUCUGCUUGCAAUGCAGUAGACCCCGGUUCAAUUCCUGGGUUGGGAA